UACGUAGGGGGCGAGCGUUGUCCGGAUUUAUUGGGCGUAAAGGGCGUGCAGGCGGUUUGGUAAGUUCCGCGUGACAGUUCUCGGCUUAACCGAGAAAGGCUUGCGGAAAACUGUCGAACUUGAGGGUCAGAGAGGGACAUAGAAUUCCGGGUGGAGUGGUGAAAUGCGUAGAGAUCCGGAGGAAUACCAAAGGCGAAGGCAGUGUCCUGGCUGACAUCUGACGCUGAGGCGCGAAAGCUAGGGGAGCGAACAGG
RNAcentral lists this ribosomal RNA (254 nucleotides) under uncultured bacterium. RNAcentral's name for it is "partial 16S ribosomal RNA". It matches the Rfam family "Bacterial small subunit ribosomal RNA", at positions 524 to 776 of the family's 1533-position model. The record is from RNAcentral.